AACGAACGCUGGCGGCAUGCUUAACACAUGCAAGUCGAACGAACUAUUUAUAGUUAGUGGCAGACGGGUGAGGAACGCGUGGGAACGUACCCUAAAGUUCGGAAUAACUAUUGGAAACGAUAGCUAAUACCGGAUGUGACCGAGAGGUUAAAGGUUUACCGCUUUGGGAGCGGCCCGCGUUAGAUUAGCUAGUUGGUGGGGUAAAGGCCUACCAAGGCGAUGAUCUAUAGCUGGUCUGAGAGGAUGAUCAGCCACAUUGGGACUGAGACACGGCCCAAACUCCUACGGGAGGCAGCAGUGGGGAAUCUUGCGCAAUGGGCGAAAGCUUGAUCCAGCAAUAUUACGUGAGUGAAGAAGAUCAUAUUCGUAAAACUCUAAAAUCAAGGAGGAUAAUGACGUUACUUGAUAAAAGACCCUGGCUAACUUCGUG
RNAcentral lists this ribosomal RNA (430 nucleotides) under uncultured bacterium. RNAcentral describes it as "bacterial SSU rRNA". It matches the Rfam family "Bacterial small subunit ribosomal RNA", at positions 29 to 507 of the family's 1533-position model. The record is from RNAcentral.